This 636-nucleotide long non-coding RNA is filed under the name Mus musculus (house mouse). RNAcentral's name for it is "predicted gene 10578". The record is from RNAcentral. Lineage: Eukaryota; Metazoa; Chordata; Mammalia; Rodentia; Muridae.
AGAUGGACCAAUUGUGCCCAUGCCUUGUGAUCUCCUGUGUUUAUUUUAAAAAGUGGGGAGGAGAUCUGGCCCAGGACUUUACAAGAGCUGCUAUCCCCAACCAUGAUAGCCAGCAUGGGUGAACUUAAAGACCUGCUUCCCUAAAGAGCUGUGAAGGCAGAAGAUGGACGUCACGCACUUCCCUGAAGGCCUGAAUUACACACAGAACCCCACAAACACUGUGAGCUACUUGACAUCCCAGAUAGGACCCCCUCAGUAGAUUCAUAGGUGGGAAACGGAGCCCAGCCAAAGCAAGCCUGCUGACACUGCGCACUGUUGCGUGGGAGUGGACGCGCUCCAUGAGGUGUGCUGUUGCAGUGUUUGGGAAAAGGGUGAGAAACCGAAGGCCCACGCACGAAACCCAGUGGCGGCUCCGAACUCACCCACGUCCAUCAAGAGCGGAGCUACCAGUGGCCAAGUCACUGAUAAAGUCAGCCUGCCAGCAAGGGUUAGGUAAUUAAUACCACUCACCUCCCUCCUCCCUGACGCUGAUGUUUUUACCUAACCGAAGCCACUAAUCAUGCAGUAAUGAUUUCUUUCCCUCUGGUCAAAGGAAAAAUAGAUCCGUUCUGUAGAAAUGUUGCGGGCUCCGAGGGU